RNAcentral lists this long non-coding RNA (7029 nucleotides) under Podarcis lilfordi (Lilford's wall lizard). Lineage: Eukaryota; Metazoa; Chordata; Lepidosauria; Squamata; Lacertidae. The record is from RNAcentral.
ACACCUGAUCUGCAGACACUUUUGUAAGACCAGAACUGGAACUGCAAUGGAGUGCUGUUCCCAUUUGUGGCAUUUCCAAUGUAAAAAAGGAACGCUGCUCAUGCAGCUGUGAAGCUGCUUUGAGCAGCAGCAAAGCUGGCUUUUUAAAGGGUGGAGGAAGAGAACUCCUUACCCGUAGGAAUGGUAAGAAUUAAUUCCCUGAAAGUUGCCAAAUUACCCCUUUUGUGGUAGACAAAUAGUACUGCAAAACUACUAUUCCAGCUUUAAUUUAGCCUCGAGCUACCAAGAUGCGUUUUGAAAAUAUAGGGUUGAAAUUUGGGGUUUGCCUCUUCCAACAUGUUGCCUAAGCUAUGGUGCCCAGAAUAGUGAAAAAUAGAAUCCAGGACUACACAUGCUUCAUGCAUCCACCUACUCCUCUUCAGCCAUCUGGAGAGGAUGAGUAACAUCCAUUUUUUCAGAGAUGGAUAAUCAGCAAAUGAAGAAAACAAAGCCGCCCUGAUCUUGCAGUGAUGAUCCAAGAGAAUUCUGUGCAGGUAUCGUUCUUUGGGUUGGGAAUCACACUCACAAACUUAAGAUCAUAAGGUCAUGAAUCACUGGCAGAGCAUCUUCCUUUGCAUGCCAAAGGUCCCAGAUUCAGUCCCUGGCAUUUGCAGCUAAGGUUGGGAAAGCUAAAUACUGUCAGCUAAAUAGACCAAUGGCCUGACUCUGUUCUUCCUGGCUCAGACCAAAGGCUGUUUUCACAGUGGCUGACCAGAUGCCUAUUCAAAGUCCACUUGUGAUUCCCAGCAGCUUGUGUUGGAUUGGUGGGCUGAACCCUUUUAUCCAGUACAUAGAGCUUUCUGGAUUGGGAUCAGGUGGUCAGUUCUGCGAACCACGAUACCUCUAUUCAUCAGCAACUGUUGGUCUAAGUCUAAGAGCACAAUUUUUAGCCAAGUGGCACAAGCAACAGAACCGAGUUGUGCGCCUCUUGCCUAAUUUGUACCAUUUCAAAUUGCAUCUCUGAAUGCUUCUCCAAACAAGAAACUAACUGCACAUAGAAAACUAGCUAGCAAGGCUAGGCUGCUCUCCCUGUUUCAUACGUGCAGGAAGCUUUAUAUAUAGGGGAAUCCAGAGCCGUCUUUCCCAUAGGGCUUAGGGGUGUGUAGCGCCAGGGUGCUGGCCUCUAAGGACACCCCAGCAAAUGGGGGAGUCACGCAGCUUUGCCAGCGGCCUCCCCUUUCCCUGCAUGCCUGCCAGCUGUGCAUUGCCAACCAUAAGGCUGUUGGGCAUGCAGCUUCCCUCCCAAACUUCCUCGGGAGUAGAGCGAUCCCCGCAGAGGCUUAGGAUGGAAGCUGCGCCCUGCCAACUAUAUGGCUGGCGGGCACACAGCUUCCCUCCCAAGUCUCCCAAGCCUUUGCAGGGAUCACUCUUCUCCCGAGGAGGCUUGGGAGGGAAGUUGCGCCUCUCCCAAGCCUCUGCGGGGAUCGCUCUCCCGCAGCAGCAUGGGGGACAGUUGCGCCCCCCCCGGAUGGCUGGCAGUGCGCAGCUAUGGCCACCCCAACACUAUCCAAGGUAAUUUGGGGGCACUGGGUGGGUAUUUGCACCCCGGCACUGCAUCUGCUAAAGACGGCCCUGGGGGAAUCAUUCAAGGAGGUUAAGCCAAAAUGAAUGGUCAGCCUGGGCUUCCGCCUUCUCAAACCACACUGACCAGGUGGCUUUGUGAGCCAUGAGAUUGAGGGAAACAAAGAAACCAAUCAUUAAACUGCUACAGGGAGACUGAUUCUCAUUUCUGGAUAGCCGCUACCAGGAAGAGAAAGGAUCUGAGAUUUGCGCAAUGGCUGGAGAAUGUCGCUUUUUUAAGGUGCCUAAAUUACCAUGCACACAAGGCCUCUGGGUUUAGAAGGCGGCAUAAUGAUAAAAUGAGGCACACAGAGGUUUUUGAUCUCUUAAGUUUCCAUUCUAAUGUAAACAAUUCUAAUGACUCUUUAUUUUUGCACAAAUUGCUGGAGUAUGCACUUAGGGUGUCAUGUACAUCUUUCCUCUCAAGGAGUUGCUUUGCGGUCCCCGUUUUGUCUAAUACUGUAAUCCUUACAUGUGUUUUGCUUUCAUGUAGUGCAGACAGUUUUGAUAAGUGUCUUUAAAAGGGAGGGGGGAGGACUGAACUUCACACACAGCUGAAUUUUUAUAAGUCGUGCCAGAAAUAAUAAAGUGUAGCUUACAUAUAGUACAUUAUCUUGUGUUCAAACAGUUCAAUCAGCUCUACACUGGAGUAUGCUAAAAUCUCCUUUGCUGUAAGUUACCCAGCCCCCUUUAGACAACUAUGUUGAUGAAGGAUGGGGGAAAAAUAUCUGAACAAUGAAACCAAAUACUAAGGAAGAAUCCUAGAACUGCUCCCCCCACCUCAUCUGCACACCUAGAAGGAGUUAGAACUAUUGACGUUAUUAAAAUUGAGCAUAUGGAAGCAAACUGGAUGAAUAAAAAAUUACUCUUAUUUGAAACAAAAAUUAUCCAGUCCAAAAAUUUGGUUCAAAAGCUUCACUACAUAACUUCACUCCAAAACAAUUUGAAACAAAGUUACAUUCAAAUAGUUGCUUAAUAUCUUAUACUGACCCCAGCAUUGGUAAAAUAUAUUGGAUGAUGUUGAGUUAAAAAUCAAAGCUCUGUCUCUUCUCCAUUCCAGCCUCAAUUAGCCUGAGGCUGUUUUCCUGGAGAUAGAUUACCAUGUCCAUUCUUUCCAGUAGCUUGAGAACAAAGAUUACUCCAUCCAAGAUGAAAACUUACAGAUUAGCAUAUGCAUAGACCUAUAUCACUAUAUCUUGCAUGUGAUUUAAACACCCCGUUACUGAGCCACAAAGACACAGUCCCAUGAUAGAGCUCCACUAAUGAUUAACUUGUGCCAGGGUUUCCCAGCUUGGCUCUCCAGCUGUUUUUGGACUACAGUUCCCAUCAUCCCCGACCACUGGUCCAGCUAGCUAGGGAUGAUGGGAGUUGUAGUCCAAAAACAGCUGGAUACCCAGGCUCUCUUCUCAGCUCUUCUUUAGCUUCAGUGGAAAGUUGCAUGCCAUGCUUCAUAGUACUCUAUGCGGGCAUAUUACAGAGUUAUCUUUCAUUUUAAUGUACAUUAAACAAUUAAACUUAACAAGGACCGGGAAGAGGUGUCCCUCAAUCUGGCUGUGCUGGGUUCCACUGCUGGAGUGUGUGCACUCUGUCAUGACAGAAGCCACUGUGCCUGCUUGAUGGUUGGGCUACUAUUGGUCCUGUCUGCUCAAUCCUCCGGCUGCCUGUCUUUGCAUGCAGGGGAAGUCCCUAACUCACUGAGGAUUUGAGACCCAUUGGCAGCCUUCAACAGGGUUAGAUUGCUGGUUGAGGUUGUUCCACUCUAUCCAGUAUUAGGGGAAGGCUGGGAGACAUAAAGUCCCAAAAGCUGAAGAGUAGAUUAGUGGAGGUAGAGAAAAAUAAAGACACCUAGUUGGAGAUAGCUGGUUCACAGCUCGCAGGAUACAACAAGUAACUGAGAAUUUCAACUCCAGGAUCCAAAUUGUAAAAUUUACACAUUGCAUGAUUGUGGGGAGGGGGACGACGACCUCAAAGCAGUUUAUAAAAAUAAUAAAACAAUAAAAUUAUCAGUAAAGACAGUUAAAAGCCAAUGUUUAAAACAUUUAAAAAGCCAUGAUAAACGAAAAACAUUCAUCAACAUUUUCCAUAUUUGGGUAGGCUUGUCAAAAACAAUAGUGUUUUUUGUCAAGCACCUACUACCAUUUGAAUCUGCCUCCUGUUUUGUUUUUAAAUUAGUUUUAUCAAGGAUUUUCCGUAAACAAUUAACAAGAAAAUAAACAAUUAAAAAUGUGAAACUACAACAUCUCCGCAGGCAUUCAUUAGCACAAUACAACCUAACAUUAGAGUUUAUCCUAGCAAUAAAGUAGACAAAAAAGUGUCCCUCCCUCCUUUUAAAAUAUCAGACAGGCCCUUUCUCUGUAAUUUUUUCUCUGUGCUUAUUACAGACCUUACUUUCCCAACAAGCCUUUUAAGUGCAGAUUUUUAUCCUCGUCUGCAUCUGUAUUAGACUUGAAAUUACUUUUUGGAUUGUAAGAAGGAAUCAGUGGGUUGUUAUUCUUUCCCCUAAAGCUCCAUCAGGAACAUGGGUGGCGCUGUUGUUUAAACCACUGAGCCUCUUGGGCUUGCUGAUCAGAAGGUCAGUGGUUCGAAUCCGUGCGACAGGGUGAGCUCCCGUUGUUCGGUCCCAGCUCCUGCCAACCUAGCAGGAAGUUAAACGGCGUUUCUGUGCGCUGCUCUGGUUUCGCCAGAAGCGGCUUAGUCAUGCUGGCCACAUGACCUGGAAAAACUGUCUGUGGACAAACGCCGGCUCCCUCGGCCUGUAAAGCGAGAUGAGCACCGCAACCCCAGAGUCGUCUGCGAGUGGACUUAACUGUCAGGGGUCCCUUUACCUUUACCUUUUAAAGCUCCAUCAAGGCACUCAGGAAUCUUGUGCAACCUACUUCCCAACCUCAUGUCACAUAUCUCUAAAUCUUCUUUCCCCUUCUGAGUUUUUAAUCACUUUCGAGAACAGGCCUGGAAUGAUGCCAGCCGACAAUUUUUUAAAAACACAAGAGCACAAAAUUACCAAACAGGUGUAUACUACAAUCUGAAGAAUGCAGAAGACCAUUUCUACGAGUGAAGCCAGACAGUAUUCUUGCUCUGAACCCAGGACAAGCCCAUGCAGCCAAGAACUAGGCUUUAUUACUCUUUGGCGGCAAGUCAUACCUGUGAUGCAUCACCCUUUGAAACAGUGAACUCUGACAAUUAUGUAAUUAUAUGAGACCCUUGCAUGCUGGCCUUGAGUCAAGAGAGGCAAAAGAAAGUGCUUCUUUCCACAAUGCAUAAUUGACUUGGAGGAAUUUGCUGCCUGAAAAUAUGUUGGUGGUCACUGGCUCAAACUGGGAAUGGGCAACCUGUGCCCCCCCCCACAGAUGUUGCUGGGCUCCAUCUUGCAGGACCUGGCAUUGGAUUUCCCAUACCCCAACCCAAAUAAUAAGAGACCAAAGAGACUGGUUUUGGGUCAAAACAGGCCACAACUUUAUUGAAUACAGAUGAAAGAGGUCUGGCUUGGGCAUGGGGCAAUCUAAAAACCUCCAGCCCGUCUGCCGGAAGUGACACAUGGUCAAUCCAGGUGGGGGUUCCUAAGACUUACAUCCAAUAGGGUGAACCCCACAAAGACCGCCAUCUGGGGGAGUGCCUUCGGCCCUGGCCCCGCCUGGGCACACGGAAAUGGCUACUCCCCCCGGAUCCCUUUAAUGGGACACCCCAGCGUUUGGAGGGGCAGGCAGGGACUACAACCUCCUCUCCGUCCAAAACAAAGGAUUGCCCCAAUGCCCAACCAGUUGCGUGUCGAGGUCCCCAAUCCACCCCCAAAAUAACUCACAACGGACAUGUAAUUUUUUGUUUAAGAUUUUUGGCAUGAUUUUGGCCACAACUUUAUUAAAAUACAAACCGUGAGUGGUUGUUUAGGCAUUGGUUAAGACUAUCUGUCCCCCCGCCUGGGGACAGAACUGACUUCCGGGCACCACCGAAAGACAGUGCGGGGGAAAGCAAGUCGGGGAGAAAUGGAGCUGAGUCACAGACCCUCAAUUCUCACCCGCCUGCUCCCCGAAGGCUUGCCGGCCCUAGUCCCAUUCCAGGGAUUGGACGAAAAGAUGGCAAGCCCCAGGAUUCCUUUAAUGGAAUUCCCUUUCCGCAGCAACCAUGGAGGGGCAGGCCCAGCCUAUCCUAACCCCUCCUCCACCAGAUUUAUAACCAAUGCCUAACCACAACCUUACAAGUUGUGACGAUUUGCUACGCAGUAGGCAAAAACCACCCAGCCAGCCAAUUUGUCAGGUGGAAAAAUUCCUACCAGGCCCCUGCUCAAUGGCAGACGACCCCAUGACAGGCAUAGCAAGGUCAAUGCAACAACCCCUUACUCUAGGGCGGGUGGGCGGGUGAUCCGUUGCACGCAGCAAAAGAGAAAGUACAAGGCUGCGUGCAGAGUAUUGAAACCUUUUACCCCCCCCCCCACCAAAAUUGCAACAUAACUUUUCCCCCAGCAACUCAGCAAUCCAAUCACUGCCCCCUGGCCAUCUUGGAGAACUUACCCAGCAACAAAGGGGGUGGCUCAGUAGACCCCACCGCAACACGUGCUCUCCCUGAAGGAGAACACGCUUUGUGACAAAUUGCUAUGAGGUAGGCAAAACCACUAGGCCAGUGUCAGUGCCAAUGGGCAAAUUCCUACCUGGUCCCUUAAAGGAGCAUCAUCCCCAGCUAACAUGGUCAAUGAUGAGAGGAACAGUAGUUCAGCAACAUCUUAAUUGGCAUAGGUUCCCCAUAUCGGCUUUAAAAUGUGACUUCAUAGGGGAAUUCGACUCAUUAGACUCAUGGAAGAUAGGUCCAUCAGAAGCACUAGACACAAUAGUGAAAUGGAUCCUAACACACUAUUUUAAUUGUUGUAGGUAGCGAUGUCAGAGAGUUUCGGCAAGAAAUGGAAAGGGGAAAGGAAAUUGCUAAAGUUCAUCCCAUGGAAAUCAGUGAAUAUGACUGGUGUUCACUGUUGCUGCUUUCAGUUCACCAAAAAAUAUGUAACUGAGUAUGGUCCGUCCCCACUCAUAUUUCUUUUGCAUUGAACUUGUAUAAUGUACAGAAUUAAAUUGGCAAGUUAUGUCAUUUUGCCACAGCAGACAAUGAGACAAAUAAUGUAGCUUUGAGGGGUGGAACAGAAAAUGGCAUCUUCUUAUAACUCUGGUUUUAAGCUACUCUGGCAAUGUGAAUGCAUUGGGAUGCAGGGUACAAAUCUUUCAUAUUAAACAAGCAAACAAAUAUCUGGACAAACGAAGUGCUUAAUUGGCAGGCCACACCCCUGUAGUCAGAGGCACUGUACCUGACUAUAAUGGAUGGUGUCUGGUUGACUUGCCGUUGCUGUUAUAUUGUGUCUUCUCUGUGCUUCUCUCAUUUUAAUUAUUUUACAUUUUAUGUCGUGUAUCUGAUUCUUUGCAAUAUUAAAUGAGUGCCCUCUGGUCCAGGUAG